GGCUUUGCGCAGUGUCAGUAUUGUAGCCAGUGAGGUUUAUCCGAGGCCUGAUUAUUGCUAAUUGAAAGAUUCUCUGAAUUUCCUUCUAACCUUUUCCCUCCACCUCUUCCAAUGCUCAUAAAUACCCGCAUAUUCUAAAUUACAGUCUCCUUUUAAGAGG
This 160-nucleotide small nuclear RNA is filed under the name Zalophus californianus (California sea lion). Its description in RNAcentral is "U4 spliceosomal RNA (ENSZCAG00015002439.1)". It matches the Rfam family "U4 spliceosomal RNA". From Rfam's summary of the family: U4 small nuclear RNA (U4 snRNA) is a component of the major U2-dependent spliceosome. Lineage: Eukaryota; Metazoa; Chordata; Mammalia; Carnivora; Otariidae. The record is from RNAcentral.